This 246-nucleotide ribosomal RNA is filed under the name uncultured bacterium. Its description in RNAcentral is "partial 16S ribosomal RNA". It matches the Rfam family "Bacterial small subunit ribosomal RNA", at positions 57 to 305 of the family's 1533-position model. The record is from RNAcentral.
GCAAGCCGAGCGGUAGAGUAUCUUCGGAUACUUGAUAGCGGCCCACGGGUGCGGAACACGUGUGCAACCUGCCUUUAUCUUGGGGAUAGCCUUUCGAAAGUAAGAUUAAUACCCCAUACUAUAUUGAGUGGCAUCACUUAAUAUUGAAAACUCCGGUGGAUAGAGAUGGGCACGCGCAAGAUUAGAUAGUUGGUAGGGUAACGGCCUACCAAGGCGAUGAUCGUUAGGGGGCCUGAGAGGGUGAUC